AGUCGUACGGGCCGCAAGGCCAGUGGCGCAAGGGUGAGUAAGGCGACGGCAAUCAACCCCACGGUUGGGUGUAGCCGCGAGAAAUCGCGGGUAAUCCCCAGCGACGCACUCGGGCGGCAUCACCCGAGUGCCAAAGGUCCGCCGCCGUGGGACGAGCCGUCGUGGUAUUAGGUAGUUGGCGGGGUAACGGCCCACCAAGCCGACGAUGCCUACCGGGCGUGCGAGCGUGGCCCGGCACACUGGGACUGAGACACUGCCCAGACUCCUACGGGAGGCUGCAGUCGAGAAUCUUCGGCAAUGGGCGAAAGCCUGACCGAGCGACGCCGCGUGGAGGAUGAAGGCCUUCGGGUUGUAAACUCCUGUCGAGGGGAAAGAAAGACUCGCAAGAGUCUUGACUGAUUCCUGGAGGAAGCACGGGCUAAGUUCGUGCCAGCAGCCGCGGUAAGACGAACCGUGCGAACGUUAUUCGGAAUCCCUGGGCUUAAAGCGCGUGUAAGCGGAUCAACGCGUCGGCGCUUAAAUUCCCCGGGUCAACCCGGGAAACGGCGCCCAUACGGCUGAUUUUGAACCACGUAAGGGGACCUUGAACUUUCCGUGGAACGGUGAAAUGCGUUUAAAUUUGAAAGAACCCCCCUUGGGAAAACCAAGUUCUUGGAACUUUUUUACCCUUAAAAACCCAAA
Molecule: ribosomal RNA, 681 nt
Filed under: uncultured soil bacterium
Lineage: Bacteria
Description: partial 16S ribosomal RNA
Rfam family: Bacterial small subunit ribosomal RNA
Source: RNAcentral